UGGGGGAUAUUGCACAAUGGGCGCAAGCCUGAUGCAGCGACGCCGCGUGGGGGAUGAAGGCCUUCGGGUUGUAAACUUCUUUUGCUCUGAACAAGGCGCACUUUGGGGUGUGUUGAGUGUAGGGGUUGAUUAGCGCCGGCUAACUACGUGCCAGCAGCCGCGGUAAUACGUAGGGCGCGAGCGUUGUCCGGAAUUAUUGGGCGUAAAGGGCUUGUAGGUGGCUGGUUGCGUCUGUCGUGAAAGCUCAUGGCUUAACUGUGGGUUUGCGGUGGAUACGGGCUGGCUUGAGUGCAGUAGGGGAGGCUGGAAUUCCUGGUGUAGCGGUGGAAUGCGCAGAUAUCAGGAGGAAUACCGGUGGCGAAGGCGGGUCUCUGGGCUGUUACUGACACUGAGGAGCGAAAGCAUGGGGAGCGAACAGG
RNAcentral lists this ribosomal RNA (419 nucleotides) under bacterium. RNAcentral describes it as "partial 16S ribosomal RNA". It matches the Rfam family "Bacterial small subunit ribosomal RNA", at positions 355 to 776 of the family's 1533-position model. The record is from RNAcentral.